CGGCAUGCCUUACACAUGCAAGUCGAACGGCAGCAGGAGCAAUCCUGGUGGCGAGUGGCGAACGGGUGAGUAAUAUAUCGGAACGUGCCCAGUCGUGGGGGAUAGCGUAGCGAAAGCUACGCUAAUACCGCAUACGAUCUAUGGAUGAAAGCGGGGGAUCGCAAGACCUCGCGCGAUUGGAGCGGCCGAUAUCAGAUUAGGUAGUUGGUGUGGUAAAGGCUCACCAAGCCGACGAUCUGUAGCUGGUCUGAGAGGACGACCAGCCACACUGGGACUGAGACACGGCCCAGACUCCUACGGGAGGCAGCAGUGGGGAAUUUUGGACAAUGGGCGCAAGCCUGAUCCAGCAAUGCCGCGUGCAGGAUGAAGGCCUUCGGGUUGUAAACUGCUUUUGUACGGAACGAAACGGUGAGCUCUAAUACAGUUUGCUAAUGACGGUACCGUAAGAAUAAGCACCGGCUAACUACGUG
This 470-nucleotide ribosomal RNA is filed under the name uncultured bacterium. RNAcentral describes it as "bacterial SSU rRNA". It matches the Rfam family "Bacterial small subunit ribosomal RNA", at positions 40 to 507 of the family's 1533-position model. The record is from RNAcentral.